RNAcentral lists this ribosomal RNA (288 nucleotides) under Hamigera sp. BAB-2171. Its description in RNAcentral is "partial 28S ribosomal RNA". It matches the Rfam family "Eukaryotic large subunit ribosomal RNA", at positions 311 to 604 of the family's 3401-position model. Lineage: Eukaryota; Fungi; Ascomycota; Eurotiomycetes; Eurotiales; Aspergillaceae. The record is from RNAcentral.
UAAUGUUGGAAACGAUUCCCAGACCGAUAGCGAACAAGUAGAGUGAUCGAAAGAUGAAAAGCACUUUGAAAAGAGAGUUAAACAGCACGUGAAAUUGUUGAAAGGGAAGCGCUUGCGACCAGACUCGCCGACGGGGUUCAGCCGGGAUUCGUCCCGGUGUACUUCCCCGCCGGCGGGCCAGCGUCGGUUUGGGCGGCCGGUCAAAGGCCUCCGGAAUGUAUCGCCCCCCGGGGCGUCUUAUAGCCGGAGGUGCAAUUGCGGCCUGCCCGGACCGAGGAACGCGCUUCG